Molecule: ribosomal RNA, 578 nt
Filed under: Mycobacterium sp. TDB-129
Lineage: Bacteria; Bacillati; Actinomycetota; Actinomycetes; Mycobacteriales; Mycobacteriaceae
Also listed under: 4 other names
Description: bacterial SSU rRNA
Rfam family: Bacterial small subunit ribosomal RNA
Source: RNAcentral
ACGGGUGAGUAACACGUGGGUGAUCUGCCCUGCACUUUGGGAUAAGCCUGGGAAACUGGGUCUAAUACCGAAUAUGAUCACGGGCUUCAUGGUCUGUGGUGUAAAGCUUUUGCGGUGUGGGAUGGGCCCGCGGCCUAUCAGCUUGUUGGUGGGGUAAUGGCCUACCAAGGCGACGACGGGUAGCCGGCCUGAGAGGGUGACCGGCCACACUGGGACUGAGAUACGGCCCAGACUCCUACGGGAGGCAGCAGUGGGGAAUAUUGCACAAUGGGCGCAAGCCUGAUGCAGCGACGCCGCGUGAGGGAUGACGGCCUUCGGGUUGUAAACCUCUUUCAAUAGGGACGAAGCGCAAGUGACGGUACCUAUAGAAGAAGGACCGGCCAACUACGUGCCAGCAGCCGCGGUAAUACGUAGGGUCCGAGCGUUGUCCGGAAUUACUGGGCGUAAAGAGCUCGUAGGUGGUUUGUCGCGUUGUUCGUGAAAACUCACAGCUUAACUGUGGGCGUGCGGGCGAUACGGGCAGACUUGAGUACUGCAGGGGAGACUGGAAUUCCUGGUGUAGCGGUGGAAUGCGCAGA